This 1459-nucleotide long non-coding RNA is filed under the name Lynx pardinus (Iberian lynx). The record is from RNAcentral. Lineage: Eukaryota; Metazoa; Chordata; Mammalia; Carnivora; Felidae.
UAAUCCUGUUUAUUAAAAAGGGUCCUACAGCUUUACAACCCCAGCUCAGGCCUGGCCCUGGAGUGAGGCCAGCCCUUCACCACAUCGACACCGAGCUCACGCCCUUGGCUCCACCCCGUGUGGGCUUGUGGGUGUCCCCCCACCGACCUCGGGGUAGGCAGCAGAGGUACUGGGGAGGGGCGGGGCGGGCCCUGAUCUCCAGAUUCACAAAACAUGGUAGGCACGCCCCUCCCAUUCGGCUGUGACAGUCCAGGAGAACCAUAUGCUAACUGAAGACAGGGGUUGGUGGCCUCGCCUCUGGCCUGCUGUGACAGACCCUGUUUGAGCACUGCCUCCAGUCUAUCACCAGGGCAGGCGAGAGCCCAGAGGGCCAGGAGGAGCCAGGGGUGUUCCCAGGGCAUCUGCCCAUCCUGGUGCUGGCUUUCUCCAAAGCAUGACGCCAUGCUGCGGGACUCCCUCUGUCCCCCUCCCACCCUGAGGCCCAAUCAGAGGCAGAGAAUAUUGGCUACGAGUAUCCUGGUUCAAGACGGGACAGAAUUCUUCCACCUGCAACACGACGACCUUGGACAAGCCCCUCUGGGAACACAGAGCCAGUAGUGAGAGCUACCCCUCGGCCUGCCCAGCCUGUGGGCCUGCGGGGGAGCCAUGGACGGCCCCUCAUUGGCACCAGGGGAAACUAAGGCACAGCACAGGCACCCACAGGUGUGACCAUACACUGCUUGUAAGAAAGGAAAUUGCAUUCGCUUCUGCACCUCAAUCUGUUCAAAACAAGAUGUGUAUUUUUAUAAAGUUUCCCUGAAUGGUCUUGUGUCAAAAAAGUUUUCUUUCCCAAUAUAAAACAGGAAAAUUACAUAGUAAAAAUACUGGGGGGAGUAUUUCUUCGUAGAAACCGUCAGGGGCUGGCCCGAGGCGGGGGAGAGAGGAGGAGCCGAGGACGUGGUCUGCUGUGCAAAGUCCGGCUCGGACCAAUCUUCCCCGGCCCGGCUGCAACGUGCCCAGCCUCCGGACCUGGCAGGGGGCCGAGCGCAUACCCUGCAUGUGGCUUUGAAGCAUCCAGGUUCGGGGGGAGGGACGAUUGGCCACCCCAGCCCGCCGAUUCAGUAAGCACCUUCCAGGCAAGCCCACCUGACGGACCCUCAUCAGGGACAGCGGCGGGCAGGGCCACACAGCACUGUCUUUUGUGCACAAAGCAGGAACGAUGACGCAGCUUAUUAAAUAAAGCUGCAACGGGAGGAACACGAUUUUAAGUGGGAAGGGAGGGAGGCUUUCCCCCCCAGACUUAGGAGUCCAUCAACACUACGAGACUUAGAAAUCAUACCGAGAACACAAACCGGUGCGGCCGCGGGGAUGCCAGGCUGAGGCCCUGCACGCACAACCACCUGGGUGCAAAACCGGGGUCUACGUCUACUUACCACUGACCUACAGUUCUACAAACGGGGGCGCUGGCGCAGGGCCACAG